UUUUCGUAGGUGAACCUGCGGAAGGAUCAUUAGUGAACAAUGGGAGUCCCUCUUAACCAGAGAAGGCCCAGUCCACUAUUUCACAAACACUCGUGCAAUCGUCCCUUUUACCUUUAACCCUUUUGCAUUUGAACAAGUCGUUGGGUUUAAACAAUGAUAAUAAAGAAAAACUUUCAGCAAUGGAUCUCUUGGCUCUC
Molecule: unclassified non-coding RNA, 197 nt
Filed under: plant metagenome
Description: partial contains small subunit ribosomal RNA, internal transcribed spacer 1, and 5.8S ribosomal RNA
Source: RNAcentral